CCCCCUCCUUCCGCCGUCAAGCAGAACGUACUUGCUCUCCGGCUUCUCAAGAUGGCGGACUCGGCUCAGUUCACUGAGAACGGUGGUGCCGGGGCGGGUCCCGAUGGCUUCGAUGCGGCCUUCUAUAGUUUCGGAGGCCCGGCGGAGAACGAGACAUUCGGCGAGUCGAAAACCAAUGGGGCCAAGGGCGUCAGCGGCGAACAGGGCCACGAGGCCUCCGGGCGCGUGGGAGAUGGGGGCCAUGACCAGUCGCAACAGCAGCAGCAGCAACCUCCGCCACCGCCCAAGGAGAUGGAAGGGUCGAAGAUCAACGCCAGCAAGAACGAGGAUGACGAGGGGAAGAUGUUUAUUGGUGGACUCAGCUGGGAAACAAGCAAGAAAGAUUUAAGGGACUACUUUUCUAAAUUUGGAGAAAUUGUAGACUGCGUAAUCAAAAUGGAUCCUGUGACUGGGCGUUCGCGAGGAUUUGGGUUUAUCCUCUUCAAAGAUCCUGAAAGUGUAGAAAAGGUAUUAGAUAAAGAACACAAACUUGAUGGAAGAGUUAUUGAUCCCAAGAGAGCACAAGCUAUGAAAGGCAAGGAGCAGAUCAAGAAAAUCUUUGUGGGUGGGUUGGAUCCUGACUGUCCAGAAGAAAAAGUGAGAGAAUACUUUGGAACUUUUGGAGAGAUUGAAUCCAUUGAACUUCCCAUGGACACAAAGACCAACAAAAGGAGAGGAUUCUGCUUUAUUACAUUCAAAGAGGACAACCCAGUGAAGACAAUUAUGGAGAAAAAGUUUCAUGAUGUUGGAACAAGCAAGGUUGAAAUCAAAUUGGCCCAGCCAAAGGAAGUCUACCAGCAACAACAGUGGGGAGGCAGAGGUGGAUUCACUGGAAGAGGACGAGGUAGUGGAGGACAAAGUCAGACCUGGGGCCAAAGCUACAACAGUAACUAUUGGAACCCAAGUUAUGGAAAUUAUAACUAUGGCUAUAACCAGAAUUAUGGUGGAUAUAGUGGCUAUGACUACCCAGCAUACAACUAUGGCUAUUAUGGUUAUGGACAGGGAUAUGGUGAUUAUAACAGUCAACCAGGCACCUAUGGUAAAGCUCCGAGGAGAGGAGGAAGUGGCCAAACUCAGUAUAGGCCUUAUUAGAUGACUUGGCUGUUCCGAAGCUCUCCAGGAACAAGUGGGAACUUCAUUGCAGGCCAUGUCACCAUGACCACACGAUUCGUACAAGCCUGCACAUUGUGGACAGAAUUCGAGAUGCCCUGUGGCAGCGACAACUCUUAUAACAAGAGGGAAUAGACAUCUUUUGAAAUCCUUUAAGAGAAGAAAUCGGUCACAGAUUUUUUUUGCAUUAUGGGCAGUGUUGAAUUUGGACACAUUACUUUUCCUUUGUAAUUUUUCUUUUUUAAUGCAAGUAAUACUUGACUGUGACUUUUUUUUGUAAAGGGGACAAAAGUUGUGUAAAGUUUUUAAACUAAUAUAAUGUAUCACCAUUUAGUCUUACUGCUGGUGAGCACGUCGUGGAUCAGUGUGGCAGAUGUAAGGGGAAAAUGUGUUUUUUUUUGUUGUAUGAGCUCUGUGAAAUAUUUCCAUUUGUAACUCCUCCUGCGUGAUUAAAUAAAAACGUUUGUACAUGUUCUUAGCAUCUCAAUGU
Molecule: RNA transcript, 1639 nt
Organism: Mobula hypostoma (lesser devil ray)
Lineage: Eukaryota; Metazoa; Chordata; Chondrichthyes; Myliobatiformes; Myliobatidae
Gene name: heterogeneous nuclear ribonucleoprotein D-like
Exons: 9
Source: RefSeq, a predicted model, not a curated record